Hibiscus syriacus is the source of this 158-nucleotide long non-coding RNA. RefSeq lists it as uncharacterized. The transcript is spliced from 3 exons. The record is from RefSeq and is a predicted model, not a curated record. NCBI's taxonomy places the organism in Eukaryota, Viridiplantae, Streptophyta, Magnoliopsida, Malvales, Malvaceae.
AUAGAGAAAAAAAAGGAACGCCUGGCUGCAAUCAGGGAAGAUUUAUUAACCAUUGCAGCAGAUCAACCCUUUCGAUUCCCUGCCACAUUCACAUUUGUUGUCAGAUCAUUUUCAGUAUUAGAUGGCAUAGGGAAGGGCCUUGAUCCUCUAUUUAACAU